RNAcentral lists this ribosomal RNA (253 nucleotides) under uncultured bacterium. RNAcentral describes it as "partial 16S ribosomal RNA". It matches the Rfam family "Bacterial small subunit ribosomal RNA", at positions 524 to 776 of the family's 1533-position model. The record is from RNAcentral.
UACGAAGGGGGCUAGCGUUGUUCGGAAUCACUGGGCGUAAAGCGCACGUAGGCGGAUUUUUAAGUCAGGGGUGAAAGCCUGGAGCUCAACUCCAGAACUGCCUUUGAUACUGGAAGUCUAGAGUUCGGAAGAGGUUGGUGGAACUGCGAGUGUAGAGGUGAAAUUCGUAGAUAUUCGCAAGAACACCAGUGGCGAAGGCGGCCAACUGGUCCGAUACUGACGCUGAGGUGCGAAAGCGUGGGGAGCAAACAGG